AGAGCUGUGAUACUGACAACGAUUGCGAGUUUCCUUUACUCGAGUGUCCCAGCGGAUGGUGCCGUAAAAAGCGGUGUUUCAACGAUAGUGAGUGUGGGCUUGCCAACUCUGAAUGCUAUAACAACUAUUGCGACUGCAAAGACGGUUAUUUAAAAGAAGGACUUUUCUGUAAACCAGCAUUAGGAAGAAGUUGUUCACAGCGAUGGGACAGAAGUUGCAGUUUUCAAGGCGAAGAAAUCAACGGUUAUUACCAAAAGGCUUACCAGUGCAAAAGUAGCCAGUGCAGUUGUAAUUCCAAAUAUUUAAGACGAGAUGGAGACUUAUGUG
Mya arenaria is the source of this 327-nucleotide long non-coding RNA. RefSeq lists it as uncharacterized. The record is from RefSeq and is a predicted model, not a curated record. The transcript has 3 exons. NCBI's taxonomy places the organism in Eukaryota, Metazoa, Mollusca, Bivalvia, Myida, Myidae.